RNA transcript from Salmo salar (Atlantic salmon), 1918 nucleotides. It is a transcript of the gene named phosphopantothenate--cysteine ligase-like, with no coding region annotated. The record is from RefSeq and is a predicted model, not a curated record. NCBI's taxonomy places the organism in Eukaryota, Metazoa, Chordata, Actinopteri, Salmoniformes, Salmonidae.
UCAGAAAUGCCAGAGCACAAAAUCCUGUCCUCCAAUGGACCACUUCAGAUCAGUAUGAAGAUGGUCCCCAAGAUGAUGUCGCCGCUGGUGAAGGACUGGGCUCCACAGGCAUUUGGGAUUUCCUUCAAGCUGGAGACGGACCCGUCCAUCCUGCUGGACAGAGCUCGGCAGGCACUGAACAAGCUGUGGUGGCCAACGUACUGGACACCAGACAAGGUUACGUAGUGGUGGAGACCCCUUACACUCAGGCCGAGCUGGUACUUACGGAUGAGGAAGCAAGCAGAGAUGUGGAGAUUGAGGACAGUAUUGUCAGUAACCUGACCUCACAGCCAAUUCAUACCCCAACAAGACUGAGACCCAGAGGUGUUUUCAUUAGUUGCAAUGGAAACUUCACUCAAAACGGAAAACGUUAUGCAACAAAAACAAGUUAUGACUGGACAAAUUCAUGGAGGUCCCUCCCCAUUUGCUCUGUUUGCUUCCUAGAGUAAAAGGUAAAACAGCUUCCGUUGCAAAUCGUUUCUCACAGAAUCUGACUAAUGAAUACACUCCAGUAAACUGUGCUGCUUACUGGGAGGGCUGGCUUUGGUGGUCCGAUGAAACACACUAACAGGUCGUACAAGUCCCUGGGGCAGGGAAUUAUCUCUACUUUCUUCUGAAAUCUUAAUUCAUGCUUGUCUAGUUCGGAUCUUUAUUUUAUCUUGCAGGGCUUUCACCGUCCUCGAUCAGCCAUUCAUGUGCAUGCAUAAGUAGGUUUCAGUACACACUCUGCCUUUAAAAUCAAAUAUUUACAUAAUCGCAGCAAAACAAUCCUUGAGCACCUUAACUUUAAGUAACAUACCAUCUUAUGUCAGAAGGCAGAUUCCAACAUAUUGGUUGUGGAAUGAUAAUGCCAACCAAUGAAUUGACUUAACCUCAUAGCAGUUUGAUUACAACAAAGCAGAUUGUCAGAGUAAUAAUCACAGACAGUAUAUCAGUAAAGUAACAGACUUGGGACAUUAAACCUUAACUGUAUGUUGGUAAUUUAUGUGCUGGACAAAUCUACGCCACAGAGGGAACUGGCAACAGUCUUCCUUGAAGGCAUGACACCGCAUACAGCUAUCAGUGAUAGUGUCAUUUACUUGCAAUUGUCCAAUAAGUCCAGCAUGAAUACCAGACAGCUCUCCACUGUCUCUUGUCUCCUCACAACAGACUUCACGAACCUGGAAUACAUUCAAGAUUGUAAUGUAGAUUUGUUUAAAAAAUACACUUGUUGAAUUCAAUUUGAUCCAUAAUUGACACUUGUUAAAUUAUACAAGUUGUCAAUUUUGCUAUCAACUACUGUAUAUCAUAUCAGCAUACACACCUCAAAGCAGGAUCAAGGAGUUAGCCAGAUAACUUGCCUCAAUAUUCUGAACUAAUAAAUAAGCUUGAAAUGGGCUAUGGUCUAAUUAACUCAACAACCUAAGUAUACUUUUCUAAAUGAAUCACAAAAAUCAACAGUUAUUUCUGGUUGUUAAUCAAAGUAAGCUGGCUAACUCAUUGGUUCUGCUUUGUAGUAUACCCCUCAGGUCCUGAAAGAUGUGCCUGCAGGAGGUGCAAGUAACGCCUGCAAAGCACUUAUCAUACAUUGGAUAUGUAUACAUUUUAUACACUGCAAUUUCAAGUUUCAAACGUAGUCUACAAACGUGUCCUCUUCGGUGUAAAACCUUUGUUCUUGGCCAUUAGCUGAAAGGAUCGAGCAGCAUGUACAAAUUAGACGAAAGGUUUAAACCGGGAAGGGAAUACUAACAUAUAAAGUACAAGAACAGUCUGAUACGAAGGUCAUGAUUUGAAGUACUGGGUGAAAAUGUUCUUAAUUUUGUGCUUUGUACAAUGAGUAUGGAAACAAGUAAAUAUUGUUCAUGAAGGCUAAGCUGUACAAUAAAUAAUUACUGCUGUA